UGAUGAAUAAGCCACGCUAAUCCGUGCGCAGCGCGUAUACGGGAGUGGCAGCGUAUCGAUAUGGCGUAAAGCGUCGCAGCGCCCUCAAGUCUGCUGUAAAAAGUGAGCUUAACUCCAUCAUGGCAGUGGAAACUGUUGGGCUGAGUGUGGUAGGGGCAGAGGGAAUUCCCGGUGUAGCGGUGAAAUGCGUAGAUAUCGGGAAGAACACCAGUGGCGAAGGCGCUCUGCUGGGCCAUCACUGACGCUCAUGGACGAAAGCCAGGGGAGCGAAAGGGAUUAGAUACCCCUGUAGUCCUGGCCGUAAACGAUGAACACUAGGUGUCGGGGGAAUCGACCCCCUCGGUGUCGUAGCCAACGCGUUAAGUGUUCCGCCUGGGGAGUACGCACGCAAGUGUGAAACUCAAAGGAAUUGACGGGGGCCCGCACAAGCGGUGGAGUAUGUGGUUUAAUUCGAUGCAACGCGAAGAACCUUACCAGGGUUUGACAUCCUGCGAAUCUCUUGGAAACAGGAGAGUGCCUUCGGGAACGCAGUGACAGGUGGUGCAUGGCUGUCGUCAGCUCGUGUCGUGAGAUGUUGGGUUAAGUCCCGCAACGAGCGCAACCCACGUCUUUAGUUGCCAGCAUUUAGUUGGGCACUCUAGAGAGACUGCCGGUGAUAAACCGGAGGAAGGUGUGGAUGACGUCAAGUCAUCAUGCCCCUUACAUCCUGGGCUACACACGUACUACAAUGCUACGGACAAAGGGCAGCAAGUUCGCGAGGACAAGCAAAUCCCAUAAACCGUGGCUCAGUUCAGAUCGUAGGCUGCAACUCGCCUACGUGAAGGCGGAAUCGCUAGUAAUCGCAGGUCAGCAUACUGCGGUGAAUACGUUCCCGGGCCUUGUACACACCGCCCGUCACACCAUGGAAGUUGGCCACGCCCGAAGCCGUUACUCCAACCCUUGUGGAG
This 947-nucleotide ribosomal RNA is filed under the name uncultured bacterium. Its description in RNAcentral is "bacterial SSU rRNA". It matches the Rfam family "Bacterial small subunit ribosomal RNA", at positions 480 to 1448 of the family's 1533-position model. The record is from RNAcentral.